CUGGCGACCUUUGCUCGUCUGGGCAGCCGCAGAAGUGGCUCGUGGCCGCUAGCCCGGGCCGCCCGCUACCACCCAGAUCAUUCUCCCGCGGCGGCGGCGGCGGCGGCAGCAGCCGAGGCGGGCCCGGCGCGCGCUCCCGCCCGCUCGCUCCGCCCCUCCCUGCAGCGAGUCCAGGCCGCGGCCCGCCUACGGCGCAGCCGCCACCCUGGGGUCUCCUAGCGCUGACGUCGCCGCCGCAGCACCAGCCCCAGGGAAGGGCGGAGCCGGAGGGAGCAGGGAGGGGCGGGGCUACGGCGACGUGCGGACGCGGGGAUUGGGCGCUGAGCACGCGCUCCGCCCUUUUGCGAAGGGGUCUGGGAAGUCGGGCUUUCAGGAGCUAUAGGUUUAACGUGCAGCCCUCUUGGGGAUCGUCUGUACUGGUUUCUCAUUUCUGAUUCUGUUGUUGGAUUCUGCACUAGCUUCGUUUCUCUCUGACCUUAAUAAAUAGAAAUAUGGCAAGAUGAGGUAUGCAGUAAGGUGCUGCAUAACCUGAUGUGUGAACCAGGAAGAACUGAAAACCCAGAUGGUGAUACCAGAAAGCCGCCUGCAAGAACAUGUGCAUAAACUUUGAUUCUGUUAGUACUUCAUUUCUGCCCUACAAUAGCAGAAAGAAGUUCAUCAGACCUGGCAAAAGUCAUCUGCCCUUAGGGAAUGGGUUGCCACCUGUAGCAGCAACCCCACCAUAGUGUGAGAUGAGGAAACUGAGGCCAGAAAGAUAAACUAAUAGAACAUGCCAGAAGAGAAAUGCCAGUAUCAUGACAUUCAGAGUAACAAUGUGACCAGUUAAAAAAACAUUCACGUCUUCAGACUCCUAUAAGUCAUGGCUGGACAUGUAACCUGUCAAUGAAAUGAAAGUCGUCAUUUCUAGGAGGGGCUUAAGGAAAGCUUUAUGGAAGAAAUGUUUCUUUAGCCAUUUGACCUAUGCCCAUCCUUUUUCUUAGAACCAGGACACGAUGCUGAAGGUAGAGCAACGAAACUUCAACCAUGAUGACAAAAACCACACCCUCAAUAUUAGUGGUGCAGAAAGCCAGAGGUGUCUGGGUUCAUGAAUGCUUUGGAGAGCCAGCUUACCAGCUGGGCUGUCCACUUCUGGAUUGUUAUUAUGUGAGGAAAAAUAAAUUUCUUCUAUGUAAGAUUUUGUUAUUUGAGUUUUCUAUUAUAAGUCUUAAAUAUGGUUCCUAAUUGAUAUAAUAAGGUAGAUUAUCAUUUAUGUAGCACUAUGUUGACAAUUUUUUUGAUAGGGUAAGAUGAAAAUGGGACAGAACAUGCAAACUAACAACAAUGAUAAAAUAUUCUCUAAUAAACUUAGUUUUUUAUUAAAUACCCAAAUAUUAAAUAAAUCAUUUUAUAGUAAUUAAGUUAAAUUCUGUAAAUUAACUUAUAUUCACUUAUAUAGUGGUUUUAAAAUAUGUUCACAAAUUUUUUCAUGCUUCUUUCAAGAGAUGGAGCUUAAUUCCCAUAACUUUAAGUUUGGGCUGUAUUUUCUAACUUCUCAUGAAUAGAAUAAGAUGAAAAUGAUGUAGUGGACCUCUGAGGGGAGUUUAUAAAACAUAUGCUAGCUUUCUUCUUGUUCUCUUUCUGGAAUUACUUGCUGGGAGAGUCACCAGAGAGGGGUCCAAAGAUGACCCUCCAGGGGUCAGUGGAAGCCUCAAUUGGCCCUGGCAGGUUCUUGAUUUAUGCCACAUAAAAGCAUUCCAGGAUGUGUUGAAAGCAAGGCACAAGGAAAGAUUUAUUAAUAGAGACAGCAAAUCAAAGGUAUAUACACCCUAAAGGCAGGGUAUACAUACCCCUUGCCUCUCAGAGAAGGUAAGACAAGUGACUGAACUAGGGUUGAUCUCUCUGACUAUAUGUAUGAUUCUCUAAGAGGAAAAGUACAGGUUCCUGGGCAGGCUUUUGUGAAAAUCAGAUCCCAUGUCAAUCACUUGAUAUUUAAGGUUCAGGAUGUUCCAUCUUGUUAUGGGUAUAUUGUAUAGCCACAAAUCAGUUAUGGGUGUUUUGUGUAGGUCUUUGAAUCUGGUGACAUUUAAAUUGAUUAUGUUUUUGUUCUAGUUGAUCUGAUAGAAGCGUACAUUGCAUGCUUUGUUCCUCUAACUAAAGGGACAAGCAUGACUGGUCAUGCUUAUAGAUCUCAAUCUCCAUCUAGUAAGGGUCUUCUUUUCUCUCUCCCUGAGAGCCCACCUAUCUCAGGGAGAGAUCGUGACAAGUAGUUGUCAUGUCAUUGUCAUAAGGUCACUCAGGCAACUUAUGGAGAGGCUUGGUUGGUGAGUAUUAAGUCUUCCAGCCAAUGGCCAUGCAAGUGACCUUGAAAGCAGAUCCUCCAACCAUAAUCAAGCCUAGAAAUGACGGCAUGCAUCCCUGGCCAACAUCUUGACUGUCGCCUCAAGAGAGACCCUGGCCAGAACCACUCAAAUAAGCUGCUUCCAUAUUUCUGGCCCCCAGAAAAUGAGAUAAUACAUGUUUAAAUAAUUGUUUUAAGCCUCUAAGUUUUAGGAUACUUUGUUAUAUAACACUAGAUAACUAACACAGUUGAGUAUAAUAGAGCCUAGCACAAUGCCUGACACAUAAGAAAUAAUUUUUUGUUAUUUGAAUGAAUAACUAUUCAAGUGGAGUUUAUCUUUUGUACUUUAAUGGAUUAUAUAUAAUGUUGGUGUUAUCUGUGAUCCCUGACACCUAUAUUGUAUAAGGGUUUUUUGAUAUGAUAAUAAAGAGAUCAAUUGUGAAUCUUACUGAGAUCUAAACAUUGAUGUCCUGGGUGUUACAAAGUGGAAUAAA
Long non-coding RNA from Sciurus carolinensis (gray squirrel), 2811 nucleotides. RefSeq lists it as uncharacterized. Lineage: Eukaryota; Metazoa; Chordata; Mammalia; Rodentia; Sciuridae. The record is from RefSeq and is a predicted model, not a curated record. The transcript has 4 exons.